UACGUAGGGUGCAAGCGUUAAUCGGAAUUACUGGGCGUAAAGCGUGCGCAGGCGGUUCGUUGUGUCCGAUGUGAAAGCCCCGGGCUUAACCUGGGAAUGGCAUGGGAAACUGGCGAGCUGGAGUGUGGCAGAGGGGGGUGGAACUCCUGGUGUAGCAGUGAAAUGCGUAGAGAUCAGGAAGAACACCGAUGGCGAAGGCAGCCCCCUGGGCCAACACUGACGCUCAGGCACGAAAGCGUGGGGAGCAAACAGG
RNAcentral lists this ribosomal RNA (253 nucleotides) under uncultured bacterium. Its description in RNAcentral is "partial 16S ribosomal RNA". It matches the Rfam family "Bacterial small subunit ribosomal RNA", at positions 524 to 776 of the family's 1533-position model. The record is from RNAcentral.